Molecule: ribosomal RNA, 253 nt
Filed under: uncultured bacterium
Lineage: Bacteria
Description: partial 16S ribosomal RNA
Rfam family: Bacterial small subunit ribosomal RNA
Source: RNAcentral
UACGUAGGGUGCAAGCGUUAAUCGGAAUUACUGGGCGUAAAGCGUGCGCAGGCGGUGAUGUAAGACAGAUGUGAAAUCCCCGGGCUUAACCUGGGAACUGCAUUUGUGACUGCAUCGCUGGAGUGCGGCAGAGGGGGAUGGAAUUCCGCAUGUAGCAGUGAAAUGCGUAGAUAUGCGGAGGAACACCGAUGGCGAAGGCAAUCCCCUGGGCCUGCACUGACGCUCAUGCACGAAAGCGUGGGGAGCAAACAGG